Molecule: ribosomal RNA, 474 nt
Filed under: uncultured bacterium
Lineage: Bacteria
Description: bacterial SSU rRNA
Rfam family: Bacterial small subunit ribosomal RNA
Source: RNAcentral
ACUCCUACGGGAGGCAGCAGUGGGGAAUAUUGCACAAUGGGGGAAACCCUGAUGCAGCCAUGCCGCGUGUGUGAAGAAGGCCUUCGGGUUGUAAAGCACUUUCAGUAGGGAGGAAGGUAGUGUAGUUAACACCUGCACUAUUUGACGUUACCUACAGAAGAAGCACCGGCUAACUCCGUGCCAGCAGCCGCGGUAAUACGGAGGGUGCGAGCGUUAAUCGGAAUUACUGGGCGUAAAGCGCAUGCAGGCGGCCUGUUAAGUCAGAUGUGAAAGCCCGGGGCUUAACCUCGGAAUUGCAUUUGAAACUGGCAGGCUAGAGUCCUUGUAGAGGGGGGUAGAAUUUCAGGUGUAGCGGUGAAAUGCGUAGAGAUCUGAAGGAAUACCAGUGGCGAAGGCGGCCCCCUGGACAAAGACUGACGCUCAGAUGCGAAAGCGUGGGGAGCAAACAGGAUUAGAUACCCUGGUAGCACAGAG